Molecule: ribosomal RNA, 901 nt
Filed under: uncultured archaeon
Lineage: Archaea
Description: bacterial SSU rRNA
Rfam family: Archaeal small subunit ribosomal RNA
Source: RNAcentral
UUCCGGUUGAUCCUGCCGGACCCGACUGCUAUCGGAUUGAGAUUUAGCCAUGCGAGUUGAACGUCUUCUGACUGCAGGAGGCGUAGCAUACGGCUCAGUAACACGUAGUCAACCUGCCCUGGAGACGCGGAUAACCCCGGGAAACUGGGAUUAAUCCACGAUAGGUCACCUCAUCUGGAAGGAGAGAUGGCCCAAAGGGGAAUUGUGAGCAUGUUUCACUACUCUCGCUCCAGGAUGGGACUGCGGCCGAUCAGGCUGUUGGCGGGGUAAAGGCCCACCAAACCUGUAACCGGUACGGGCUUUGAGAGAAGGAGCCCGGAGAUGGACACUGAGACAAGGGUCCAGGUCCUACGGGGCGCAGCAGGCGCGAAACCUUCGCAAUGCGCGAAAGCGUGACGAGGUUAGUCCGAGUGGCUUCCGCUGAGGAGGUCUUUUGCUGGCUCUAAAAAGGCUGGAGAAUAAGGGGAGGGCAAGCCUGGUGUCAGCCGCCGCGGUAAUACCAGCUCCUCGAGUGGUCGGGGCGAUUAUUGGGCCUAAAGCAUCCGUAGCCGGUUCAGUAGGUCUUCUGCAAAAUCCAAUCGCUUAACGAUUGGCCCGCAGGAGAUACCGCUGGACUAGGAGGCGGGAGAGGUGGACGGUACUCCACGGGUAGGGGUAAAAUCCUUUGAUCCGUGGAAGACCACCAGUGGCGAAGGCGGUCCACCAGAACGCGCUCGACGGUGAGGGAUGAAAGCUGGGGGAGCGAACCGGAUUAGAUACCCGGGUAGUCCCAGCCGUAAACGAUGCGAGCUAGAUGAUCCAAUCGCAAAUCGCGAUUGGAGUGUCGCAGGGAAGCCGUUAAGCUCGCCGCCUGGGGAGUACGGUCGCAAGGCUGAAACUUAAAGGAAUUGGCGGGGGAGCA